GAUGAACGCUAGCUACAGGCCUAACACAUGCAAGUCGAGGGGCAGCGGGAAGGAAGCUUGCUUUCUUCGCCGGCGACCGGCGCACGGGUGCGUAACGCGUAUCGAACCUACCCUUUACUCGGGAACAGCCUUGCGAAAGCAAGAUUAAUGCCCGAUGUUCCGCGUUUGCCGCAUGGCAAAUUCGGCAAAGAUUUAUUGGUAAAGGAUGGCGAUGCGUCCCAUUAGUUAGUUGGCGGGGUAACGGCCCACCAAGACGACGAUGGGUAGGGGUCCUGAGAGGAAGGUCCCCCACAUUGGAACUGAGACACGGUCCAAACUCCUACGGGAGGCAGCAGUGAGGAAUAUUGGUCAAUGGGCGGAAGCCUGAACCAGCCAAGUAGCGUGCAGGAAGACGGCCCUAUGGGUUGUAAACUGCUUUCAGUCGGGAAUAAUUCGUCGGUUGUGACCGACGUUGCAGGUACCGUCAUAAGAAGGACCGGCUAAUUCCGUGCCAGCAGCCGCGGUAAUACGGAAGGUCCGGGCGUUAUCCGGAUUUAUUGGGUUUAAAGGGAGCGUAGGUGGACUGUCAAGUCAGUUGUGAAAUCCGCGGGCUCAACCUGCGGCCUGCAGUUGAAACUGGCGGUCUUGAGUCCGUUCAGGGAUGCUGGAAUUCAUGGUGUAGCGGUGAAAUGCUCAGAUAUCAUGAAGAACUCCAAUCGCGAAGGCAGGCAUCCGGGCCGGAACUGACACUGAGGCUCGAAAGUGCGGGUAUCAAACAGG
This 759-nucleotide ribosomal RNA is filed under the name uncultured bacterium. RNAcentral's name for it is "bacterial SSU rRNA". It matches the Rfam family "Bacterial small subunit ribosomal RNA", at positions 28 to 776 of the family's 1533-position model. The record is from RNAcentral.